Molecule: ribosomal RNA, 484 nt
Filed under: uncultured bacterium
Lineage: Bacteria
Description: bacterial SSU rRNA
Rfam family: Bacterial small subunit ribosomal RNA
Source: RNAcentral
AUUGAACGCUAGCGGGAUGCCUUACACAUGCAAGUCGAACGGCAGCGCGGACUUCGGUCUGGCGGCGAGUGGCGAACGGGUGAGUAAUGUAUCGGAACGUGCCCAGUAGCGGGGGACAACCACUCGAAAGAGUGGCUAAUACCGCAUACGCCCUACGGGGGAAAGGGGGGGAUCGAAAGACCUCUCACUAUUGGAGCGGCCGAUAUCGGAUUAGCUAGUUGGUGGGGUAAAGGCCUACCAAGGCGACGAUCCGUAGCUGGUUUGAGAGGACGACCAGCCACACUGGGACUGAGACACGGCCCAGACUCCUACGGGAGGCAGCAGUGGGGAAUUUUGGACAAUGGGGGAAACCCUGAUCCAGCCAUUCCGCGUGUGCGAUGAAGGCCUUCGGGUUGUAAAGCACUUUUGGCAGGAAAGAAAUCGUGUGGGUUAAUACCCUGCGCGGAUGACGGUACCUGCAGAAUAAGCACCGGCUAACUACGUG